Long non-coding RNA from Lycium barbarum (goji berry), 418 nucleotides. RefSeq lists it as uncharacterized. NCBI's taxonomy places the organism in Eukaryota, Viridiplantae, Streptophyta, Magnoliopsida, Solanales, Solanaceae. The record is from RefSeq and is a predicted model, not a curated record. The transcript has 2 exons.
UUUUAGAUCGUGGGCAGCCCGAAUCAUAGUUUGGACUUAGCUUGAGUUGGAUCAUAUUGGAGAGCGUUUGAGGUACAGACGCACAGCCUGGUGAUCCACCUGUUUAGGACACCCUUUCUGCUAUUCGGAGUGCUCCUCUCUUUCCGGAGCUUAUACUUUUGGUAUAUAUAUUUAUUAGUGCGUUUGUAUAUAUUCGUUCAUGGGUACGGCGGGGCCCUGUCCCGUCAUAUGAUUCUGUCGGUCUGUUUAGAGGUCUGUGGACAUGUUUGUGGGUUAGGGUCUUUCUGUAUGGAUGUAUGUACAUGUCGUUUGGGCGAUCCCAUACGCCGAGGCGGCCGGUCCGCAUAUGUUGUUUGGGCGAUCCUAUACGCCGAGGCGGCCGAUCCGCAUAUGUUUAUAUAUUGCUUGGUUAGCCCUG